CAGGGGUGUGGAAAUAUUUGUUGUGAGCACUUGUCCCUGGGCAAGUAAAACUGUAAAUUUUACUUGUCCGGAAAAAAAGUUACUUGCCCUGAUGGUCCAAACAAAUAUUGUAGUAUUUUAUUGUUAGCUAAUAUAUGAUUCUAAGCACGGUUUUGCAUCCCAAACAAAUCAGUGAAAUCAAUUGGUUUAUAUGCAGAGGCGGAUUUAGGGGGGGGGGCAGAGGGCCCGGGCCCCCCCCUUUUUGGAAAAAAAUUUGGUUGCUUAUAUAGGGAAUCACUGAAGCGUGACCGGAGCGGGCCCCCACUUAUGAAAAUUUCUGGAUCCGCCACUGAUUUAUUAUGUGUAAAAAUUUAGGAAUGUUGUAAAUGGUUUUAUUACAUCAAUGGUACAGAAACUCAAAAGCAAAUCAACUAAAUGAAAUGACAUGUAAAGGACAAGUUUGCAGCAUUGUUUUUUAAUAAAAAUUGUAGCCAGUAGGUACACUACAUAUACUUAAUUUAGAGGAUAGUGAGUGAAAUGGAAACUAAAUAAUAGAUUAACUAAUUAUUUCUAUCAACUGACACACUUGUUUUUUUCUUGGUAGUUGAACACUUCUAUUUACCACUUAGACAACACAUAAGGUUGCCUUUGAUCUAUAAAUAAGACAAAAACAAAACUUAUUAUCUGAAUUUCUUUCCAAGGGGUAAUCUGAUAUUCACGAUGUCUGAUAUUCUCGCUUCCGUAUUUUUUUCAUAUACACCUUGACCAUCUCCGUUUGCGUUUCAUGCUUUCGACUAGACUCGUCAUUCUUAUUGUCUUGCUUGCCCGAUGUUUUAUUUUAAAAGUAUUCAUCAAUCUGAAUCUCGAUUCAAACUCUUAAGAAAUGACACUUCCGGUGAAUAGUUGAUAAAACAUAAUCGACGAUCCCGGGUCAAUGGACAAAGCCAAUGUAUGUAUGUAUGUACUCGAGAUUCCGCCAAUUUAGACGCACCCCUUGAUUGACUGCAAGGGUACAGCGGAUCCAUGUACACUCCCUAAGGAUUAAUGGAGAUGUGUCCUUUACAAUAUUAUCCCACCACCAGAACAAUCCCCACCCAACACCACCCAAGGGAGCGUGUAGGACACCGGGAAGUCUGUUAUUAUGGUGGAGGAAGCCGAAGUACUCGGAGAGAACCACCGGGCCACUCGGUGGAAACAAACAAACCAGAGAGAUAUCAGAAGAUUGAUCUCCAGGUCAAAGUAGGGGACAACUUUGAACAACCGAGGCCCCCAAAGUACCCAUUCUAGUUUAAACUCCGGUCUGGGUACCAGAGAUGUGUGUGAGAGGGUGAAAAUUACCCUUCUGAUGUACUGAUAUUUUUAGCAUCCCGAGUGAGAAUCGAACUCGGGACCUUCAGCACUGUAGCCAUCGGUCUUAACCACUAAACCACGAACUCAAUAUUACGCGACUCGGGUUUGCAUACUUAUUUUUACUCAUUUUGGUAAUCGAUCUAUUUCCGGAGUUAUGUAAUAUUUAUCGUCAUGAACAUUGAUGUUUAUACUUUUAAAUAUAUGUUUUUACUCGCUGAUUAUUGGUUUCUUUUACAUAAAUUAAACAUCUUUAUACGUUUUGAAAUUAAUCCUAUAUUUUUGCUGAAUUUGAACUUUGUCUUGUAUAUUAUUUUACUUGUCCACGGGCAACCAAGAUAAAAAUAAUUACUUGUCCUGGUGUUAAAAUGUACGAGUCGGGCGAGUCGGGCAUAGCAUUUCCACACCCCUGA
Molecule: long non-coding RNA, 1739 nt
Filed under: Mytilus galloprovincialis (Mediterranean mussel)
Lineage: Eukaryota; Metazoa; Mollusca; Bivalvia; Mytilida; Mytilidae
Source: RNAcentral